RNAcentral lists this ribosomal RNA (253 nucleotides) under uncultured bacterium. Its description in RNAcentral is "partial 16S ribosomal RNA". It matches the Rfam family "Bacterial small subunit ribosomal RNA", at positions 524 to 776 of the family's 1533-position model. The record is from RNAcentral.
UACGGGGGGAGCAAGCGUUGUUCGGAUUUACUGGGCGUAAAGGGCGCGUAGGCGGCGUGACAAGUCACUUGUGAAAUCUCCGGGCUUAACCCGGAAACUGCCUUUGAUACUAUCGGUCUUGAAUAUGGUGGAGGUCAGCGGAAUAUGUCAUGUAGCGGUGAAAUGCUUAGAUAUGACAUAGAACACCCAUUGCGAAGGCAGCUGACUACGCCUAUAUUGACGCUGAGGCACGAAAGCGUGGGGAUCAAACAGG